RNAcentral lists this ribosomal RNA (411 nucleotides) under uncultured picoeukaryote. RNAcentral describes it as "partial 18S ribosomal RNA". It matches the Rfam family "Eukaryotic small subunit ribosomal RNA", at positions 137 to 549 of the family's 1831-position model. The record is from RNAcentral.
UCUUGGAUCACCGAGUAAAUUCUAAAGCUAAUACUUGCUUAAAGCCCGAUUUUUUGAAAAGGUGUUUUUUUUUAAAAUGAAACCCCUCCCUUUUGGAAGAGUUUGGUGAGGUCAUAUAACCUAUCCGAACCCCAAGGUCUUGCCCCGGCGAUGAAUCAUUCAAGUUUCUGCCCUAUCAGGUUUCGGGGGGUGUGUAGUGCCCUACCCUGGGUUGGACGGGUAAGGAAUUUAAAGUGGUUUCUAUUUCAGAGAGGGAGCCAGAAAAACCGCUCCCACCUCCAGGGAAGGGAGCGCGCGCAUAAUUUACCCUUUCCUGACACAGGGAGGGAGAGACAAUAAAAAACAAUGCGGACCUUUUUGUCUUUUGCGUUUGGAAAGAAAACAAUUUAAAUCCUUUAUCGUAAAUCCUUU